UUGGAGGGCAAGUCUGGUGCCAGCAGCCGCGGUAAUUCCAGCUCCAAUAGCGUAUAUUAAAGUUGUUGCAGUUAAAAAGCUCGUAGUUGAAUUUCGGGAUCAGCAAGUUGGUCGUGCCUCUGGUACGUACUGGCUUUACUGGUUCCUCCUUCUUGAAGAACUGUAAUGUCAUUAAUUUGGUGUUGCAGGGAAACAGGACUGUUACUUUGAAAAAAUUAGAGUGUUUAAAGCAAGCUAACGCUUGAAUACAUUAGCAUGGAAUAAUGAAAUAGGACGUUUGAUCCUAUUUUGUUGGUUUCUAGGACUGACGUAAUGAUUAAUAGGGAUAGUUGGGGGCAUUAGUAUUCAAUUGUCAGAGGUGAAAUUCUUGGAUUUAUUGAAGACUAACUACUGCGAAAGCAUUUGCCAAGGAUGUUUUCAUUAAUCAAGAACGAAAGUUAGGGGAUCGAAGACGAUCAGAUACCGUCGUAGUCUUAACCAUAAACUAUGCCGACUAGGGAUCGGAUGAUGUUAAUUUUUUAAUGACUCAUUCGGCGCCUUACGGGAAAC
RNAcentral lists this ribosomal RNA (549 nucleotides) under uncultured Glomeromycotina. RNAcentral describes it as "SSU rRNA". It matches the Rfam family "Eukaryotic small subunit ribosomal RNA", at positions 548 to 1098 of the family's 1831-position model. Lineage: Eukaryota; Fungi; Glomeromycota. The record is from RNAcentral.